Molecule: ribosomal RNA, 113 nt
Filed under: Acanthosepion pharaonis
Lineage: Eukaryota; Metazoa; Mollusca; Cephalopoda; Sepiida; Sepiidae
Source: RNAcentral
UACGACUACAUCAUGUUGGAACACUGGUUCUCAUACAAUCACUGAAGUUAAGCAAGGUCAAAUUUGGUCAGUACUUGAUGGGUGACUACUUGGGAGUACCAGGUGCUGUAAGC